RNAcentral lists this unclassified non-coding RNA (3109 nucleotides) under Gigantopelta aegis. RNAcentral describes it as "nuclear pore complex protein Nup133-like, transcript variant X2". Lineage: Eukaryota; Metazoa; Mollusca; Gastropoda; Neomphalida; Peltospiridae. The record is from RNAcentral.
GGUGGAUGUAUGAAAGUUUACCAAAAACAUACUUUUGCCGGCAAUUUUAUAAUCAUGUUUACACCACGAGGGUUGACUACUAAAGCUCGGGGGUCACCGUUUACACCUUCGUCCACUCAAAGUAAACGAAUAUCUAAUCUUUUCACGCCACAAAGUCGUCGACCAUCUCUUUCUCAGUUCACUGGAGGGAGAAGUCAGAUAUCUGCCAACAGGUCACAGAGCUCUCAGCUGCUGGACGACUCAUCACUACACAGAGUUGAUAAUUAUGGAGUCUCUCUGCCAGUCCUCAUUACAGAGGCUCUCACUCUGGCCGACCGGAGCACAGAGAUCACUGUGUGUUUUGACCCGUCUGGCUGGGCAUGGAUGGUAGGUGGCCGCAAGUUGUUCGUGUGGAGGUACAAGCCAACAGUCACCACUCGGGGUGUCCAAUGCAAAGAGCUGAUGCUUCCUUCCAGUGACUUGGCACACAGUGCUGAGAGAGUGUGCAUCAUCCCCAAUAUAGGCGACAGUCAGAUGGCAUCCUGUGUGGCGGUGUCACCGGAAGGUGUUGUCAGAUACUGGCCAAACAUCGCAUACGAGUCGUCCACCGCAGAGAUCAGUGCUGAACUUAAGGGCGAGGAGUGUGCCUGUGUUGUUAACUUUGAGCCUUUCGGUGUUCUUUUGGCAACGACUACCAGCUCCCUCAUUUUGUUACUGACAGCACCAGGACAGAACACAAUUUCAUGCCAGCCUUUGAAGUCAUCUCAAGGAAUGUUUGCUGGUAUAGGGCGGAGAAUGUCUUCUUUUAUAUUUGGUGCAUCACCUCUUCAAACAACUGGAGCAACUUUGCAAGCACUGGUGCCGGGAUUUGUGGAUGAAGACAGCAGACCAUUCUUUGUUUUGUCUGGCACUGUGCUGCAGAAGUGGGAAAUAUCGGAAGAGUGUCCAGAAAAGCUGUUGUAUCAGGUAGACAUUGGACGAUUGUUUAGAGAUGCCCUUGCCAGAAAAGUUUGGAAUCAAGAUUCUGUGCAAAUGGCUCAAUUGCGAACUUGGCUGCUUGAUAUGAAAAUAACAAGAAAUGGAGUCAUGAUACUUGGGUGUGGAGUAAACCUUGAGUCGACAUCUGUUGUGCAUUACGCUGUGGCUUUGUUGUCAACCAGCGAGUCUGAACCAGCCUCAUCUCUGGAUAUGUUCACCGUGCUGGACAACACUGAACACUACCAGGAAGAACACGAAAACUACUUUCUUGGCUACCAUUUAUUGGUUCCAGAUAUCAACUCUCUUGUGGCUUACAUAUACGACAAGCAUAACAUCUUUAUUGUGUCAGUUUCAGAGUCUAACCCAACAGACACUAUUGAACUUCCAUCCGGGGACCAGUUACUUGGUGCAGGCAACAGUGACAAAACCGCUGUGUUCUUCUCCAACUCGCGAGGCUUGUUCUGUGUGUCAUCCUCCGCUAAAACAGAACAAAGCAUACUGGACGAAUCGGACCAAGCAGCCCUGGCCAGGACAGAAGUGUCUUCUUUAGUUACAAGUCAUUCGAAGGUCGCUGAGAUGAGUGUCAGUGAUGACCGAUACACACGUCUGAAAGCUGCUUUUAUCAAUUCUCUCAGUGGACACCUGCAAGAUGCGCAGACUGCCGUUGAAAACCUUUUUCCUUCACUGUGCGAUGAAAGUGAGGCACACACUGACAUGGAUGAGCUGGUAGUGGCAUUAAGUGUUGAUCUUAUUGAUGACUACCCGACAUCCGACCCCAGAUGGGCGGAAAGCCUUCGACAAGAUGCAGCUUUCAGUUCAUCACUGAUUAUCCAGCAACAGUUGAGAGACAAGGAAAAAGCACAUGAUUAUUUGAUUAGCUUUCUCAAGAAACUCGACCUCUGGGACAGGCUCUGUGGUGUGGUCAUGCGAGAGACGGUGAUGUCUACCAGAUUGUUCCUCUGUGAACACGCCGAGAAGCUACAGGCUGCGAUUGCACUGCGAGAGUUACACAGCGAACAUGCUGCAGUGAUUGACAACUGUAUUCAGGCAGUCCUCGAAACUGAACGUGAUGCUCAAAUACCAUCAGGCCUUACUCCACAAGAUGUCUUCUACAGGGAGGUGUCUAGGAUUAGUGAAAUUGUGUCAGCUCUCAUUGACUACGAGGUGGACAGACUUUCCUCAGAUCUUCCUCCUCGACAGCGUGUAAUUCUUGUUUCCAUCACCAACAACAUUCUUGAAGGAGUUCUGAGUAGUGCUCUGCAGUAUCGCCAGUGUAAGGCGGCAGUGUUCCAGUCUGAGGCGGAUGAGCUGUCUGAUUUCGAGUACAUUCCGUGGACCUCGUCUGGUGGAAGCAAAGGCAUCCGCACUCUCAUAUCAAAACAGUUUAACAUUACCCUAGAAAGUGGUGUGCCAGAAGCAAAGAACGUGGAGGGUAGAGGUGUGUUGUUUGAACAAGUGCUUCGAAUGGCCGAUCUCUUGUUAGAUGGCUACAGUUGUCAGCUGGAAUCUCUUCGACAGAAUCCAGAAAAGUCCGAACAGUAUCGACAGUUGAACAAGAAAUACGAACAAGAACGAUCCAAGCUGAUCUCACCUCUGUUGGACUAUGAACAGUAUGAGCGUGCAGCGUCACUGGCAGAGAAGUACUUUGACUUCAAUGCUCUCAUUCAAAUAUGUGAAGUAACCAACAACGAAGAGCGUCUUCAGCGCUACAUUACACAAUUUGCUGAUAGGGGGUUCUCCAAGUUUCUGUUUGACUGGUACAUGAAAGAAGGAAAGCGAGGCCGCCUGCUGUGUCAGCCUGGCAUACAGAGUGAAGAACUACAGACAUUCCUCAACUCCGAUAACAACAAGUACCUCAGCUGGCUUCACGAUAUCAACUCGGACAACUAUCUUGGUGCACAUGAAACAUUAAUGCAGCUACAAGAAGAAGAAACAACAUUUUUAGCAAAAAAAAAAGACUCUGCUCAGUUUGUGUAAGCUUGCUGCUCUUGCCGUCGACAACUAUGACAUUGACCUUACCGACAACAUUGAAGUGACAAAUGAUGCCUUGAAUUUGGUUUUGCACCAAGAACAAGUUCCUCCUGAUGUUUUUAGGAAUAUUGGAGUAAACCCGGAAAACAUGAGAGUUUUCUCACCAAAAGAAUUAAUAGAG